RNAcentral lists this RNase P RNA (359 nucleotides) under Chloroflexota bacterium. Its description in RNAcentral is "Chloroflexi bacterium RNase P RNA component class A". It matches the Rfam family "Bacterial RNase P class A". Rfam says of the family: Ribonuclease P (RNase P) is a ubiquitous endoribonuclease, found in archaea, bacteria and eukarya as well as chloroplasts and mitochondria. Its best characterised activity is the generation of mature 5'-ends of tRNAs by cleaving the 5'-leader elements of precursor-tRNAs. Cellular RNase Ps are ribonucleoproteins. Lineage: Bacteria; Bacillati; Chloroflexota. The record is from RNAcentral.
CAAGUAAACCGGGUGACCGCCGCUUAACUUUUGUUAAGGGGAGGAAAGUCCGAGCUCCUUCAGGCAGGAUGCUGGAUAACGUCCAGGAGGGGAAACCCUACGGAAAGUGCCACAGAAACAUACCGCCUCAGCGCAAGCUGCGGUAAGGGUGAAAUGGUGAGGUAAGAGCUCACCGCUCCGAUGGUGACAUCGGUGGCGGGUAAACCCCAUCCGGAGCAAGACCAAAUAGGGGGACAUAAGGUGCCUGUCCUGUUCCCGGGUUGGUCGCUAAAGGUGGCGAGUAAUCGUCACCGUAGAUAGAUGGUCACCGCUUCGCUUUUAGCGGAGUACAAAACUCGGCUUACAGGUUUACUUGGCCU